Molecule: non-coding RNA, 420 nt
Organism: Candoia aspera
Lineage: Eukaryota; Metazoa; Chordata; Lepidosauria; Squamata; Candoiidae
Source: the annotation of a RefSeq genome assembly
AUGAUCCUGUGGCUAAACCUGGUGUCCUUAGUAGUAGUCCUCAGAGGUGUCCAGUCUGAGGUCCAGUUGGUGGAGUCUGGAGGGGACGUGAGAAGGCCUGGAGAGUCCCUCCGCCUCUCCUGCCAAGCCUCUGGCUUCGACUUCAGCAGCCAUUGGAUGAGUUGGGUGAGACAGGCUCCAGGAAAAGGACUCGAAUGGGUGGCACUCAUAUGGCCAAAUUCUGGUACUCACUACUCUGCCAAAGUCAAGGGACGCUUCACCAUCUCCAGGGACAACUCCAAAAGCCAAGUCUAUCUGCAAAUGAACAGUCUGAAGCCGGAGGACACAGCAGUCUAUUACUGUGCAGGAGACACAGUGAGAGGAAGUGAGUCUGAAGCCUGGCAAGAACCUUCCCUUGGUCAGAGCUACUAUGCAAGUUAG